RNAcentral lists this ribosomal RNA (330 nucleotides) under uncultured Pseudomonadota bacterium. RNAcentral's name for it is "bacterial SSU rRNA". It matches the Rfam family "Bacterial small subunit ribosomal RNA", at positions 568 to 898 of the family's 1533-position model. Lineage: Bacteria; Pseudomonadati; Pseudomonadota. The record is from RNAcentral.
AGCGUAGGCGGAUAGUUUAGUGAGAGGUGAAAGCCCAGGGCUCAACCUUGGAACUGCCUUUCAUACUGGCUAUCUUGAGUACGGGAGAGGUGAGUGGAACUCCGAGUGUAGAGGUGAAAUUCGUAGAUAUUCGGAAGAACACCAGUGGCGAAGGCGACUCACUGGCCCGUUACUGACGCUGAGGCUCGAAAGCGUGGGGAGCAAACAGGAUUAGAUACCCUGGUAGUCCACGCCGUAAACGAUGAGUGCUAGUUGUCGGCAUGCAUGCAUGUCGGUGACGCAGCUAACGCAUUAAGCACUCCGCCUGGGGAGUACGGUCGCAAGAUUAAA